GUGCAAAAUACAUGCUGCCUUUUUGUCCAUCUUGGCGUCUUGGCUGAAGUGCGCCCCCAGUCCCUGAGCUUGGGCCGGUGGGACCAGAACUCCCGCAGUGGAGACGUCCUCAGGCUCCCUGGAGUCUCCUCUGAGGGGGGAGGAGGCCGAGCAGCUGGGGGACAGGAGACGACCCCCUUAUCCCUGUCCUGGGCAUCGUCCUAAGGAUCGGGCCACAGUUGUUGCUCUUCACAGAUGGUUGGCGCACGGACGGGGCGUGUCUGCAGGAGCUCGGUGAAAGCGAACCGUGGCCACUCGCUGCUCCGUGGCAUGGUGGCAGCUCUGAAGGCCCGCAGAGGACCGUACCUCUCACGUGCACCGGCUGCCGUCACAGGCCUGCAGCCCCAGCAGCCCGGCCCCACGCCAGGGACGAAUCUGGCAGGUGCGCAGAGGCAUCCAGGAGCCUUCACCGUCGCCAUCCAGAAUGGAGCCUGUUUCCUCUAACCUUGAGGCUGCCAAGGAGAAGGCCUAGGAGGGCGGGGGUUCCCGUGUCUUUGGAUUUCACAGACCCAUAAAUUUUUUUAAGAACGGGAAGGAAACUUAUUUUGCCAACCAAGGACAUCGAAGAAAAAAGAAGCCUUAAAAAUGACCAUUUCCUAGCACCAUCAUUUCAUAUAAGAAAGGGCAUCUUAGAACACACACACGUACACAUGCACACACACGCUCGGACACCAAGGAGGAAGGAACCUGGUCUCAGAGCAAACAAUAGCCCUUUGCGCUAAGUAGAAUUUAGGUUUUUGUGUGAAAACUCCCACCACUGUCCUUACUUUUCUCAUCUUGUUGGCGACACGUUAAGACUUCCCUGGAGCCUGUUCUUGGAUUAAAGCUUGGAAAGCGCGAGCUGGAGUUGCCACAUUCGUCACUAGGUUAAGUGUAGUCAGGUUUGCAAACAGCUGCUUCUCGCUCAAUUUACUGACGUCAAUGUUUAACAUGCGGGCGUGGACUGCCUGGUUCUCGCUGGGCCCUGGGCCGGCGCGGGAUACACCUGGCUCCCCGACCUCGAGGGAGUGCGCACUUAAGUGACGGAUAUGGAAAUGUCACCUCCUUAGGGAGGCCCUCCCAGACCCCCCCACGCAGAGUGGCAGCUGAGCCCCUCACCCCUCACCACUCCCAGUCAUUCUCUAACACGUCACCUUUGUUGUUUUUCAUCAGAGCUCUUGCCUUCGUGGACAUUUCUUUGUUUAUGUCUUUGUGUCUUCCUUUGUGGCCCAUCCCUGCUCUCUAGAAUGUAAGCCCCAGGAGUGCACGAAUCUUUCCUGCCUGAUUCACCGCUGGAGCUCCC
This 1321-nucleotide long non-coding RNA is filed under the name Vulpes vulpes (red fox). Its description in RNAcentral is "lncRNA (ENSVVUG00000001744.1)". Lineage: Eukaryota; Metazoa; Chordata; Mammalia; Carnivora; Canidae. The record is from RNAcentral.